CCUACGGGAGCAGCAGUGGGGAAUAUUGCACAAUGGGGGAAACCCUGAUGCAGCGACGCCGCGUGAAGGAAGAAGUAUUUCGGUAUGUAAACUUCUAUCAGCAGGGAAGAAAAUGACGGUACCUGACUAAGAAGCCCCGGCUAACUACGUGCCAGCAGCCGCGGUAAUACGUAGGGGGCAAGCGUUAUCCGGAUUUACUGGGUGUAAAGGGAGUGUAGACGGUUCUGCAAGUCUGAAGUGAAAGCCCGUGGCUUAACCGCGGAACGGCUUUGGAAACUGUGGAACUGGAGUGCUGGAGAGGCAAG
Molecule: ribosomal RNA, 305 nt
Filed under: uncultured bacterium
Lineage: Bacteria
Description: bacterial SSU rRNA
Rfam family: Bacterial small subunit ribosomal RNA
Source: RNAcentral